This 261-nucleotide long non-coding RNA is filed under the name Mustela putorius furo (domestic ferret). Its description in RNAcentral is "lncRNA (ENSMPUG00000026774.1)". The record is from RNAcentral. Lineage: Eukaryota; Metazoa; Chordata; Mammalia; Carnivora; Mustelidae.
GGCUCCACCUCUUACCUUUUCAAUUGACAUUUCCGGCGGGGGGGGGGAGACCUAGAAAUAGGCAUUUUUUGAUGAGCAGCCCAGGCAGAUAUAAGGCUCCCCGAAGUGUGGAAAGGAGUCCUCCACGUGACUGUGAGCUCUUCAAGGAUGAGGACGCAGCCUUACUCAUUUCUGUGUAUCCAGGAACCGUCCCAGGACCUGGCAAACAACAUCCUACAACGUGAAUCGAAAUCUCAACUUGGUUCCAAUUUGACUUUCUCC